UACGUAGGGUGCGAGCGUUAAUCGGAAUUACUGGGCGUAAAGCGUGCGCAGGCGGUUCGUUAAGUCAGCUGUGAAAGCCCCGGGCUUAACCUGGGAAUUGCGGUUGAAACUACAGGGCUAGAAUCUGGCAGAGGGGGGUGGAAUUCCACGUGUAGCAGUGAAAUGCGUAGAGAUGUGGAGGAACACCGAUGGCGAAGGCAGCCCCCUGGGCUGAGAUUGACGCUCAGGCACGAAAGCGUGGGGAGCAAACAGG
This 253-nucleotide ribosomal RNA is filed under the name uncultured bacterium. Its description in RNAcentral is "partial 16S ribosomal RNA". It matches the Rfam family "Bacterial small subunit ribosomal RNA", at positions 524 to 776 of the family's 1533-position model. The record is from RNAcentral.